ACAAACUUGGUCAUUUAGAGGAAGUAAAAGUCGUAACAAGGUUUCCGUAGGUGAACCUGCGGAAGGAUCAUUAAUAAUUUGCUAAUGUCGAGGCUCACCCCUCGUGCAUUUUCAAACCCACUUGACCAACCUAAAAAACCAUUCAGCUUCGGUAGCAGGUCGGGCUUUGUUGCCCGCACCGUCAGCCUGCCGUUAGCGCCUUAUAACCAAACUUUUUUGAACAAAACCUUGUCUGAUAACCAAUCAUUUUCGAAUGAAAAUUAAAACUUUCAACAACGGAUCUCUUGGUUCCCGCAUCGAUGAAGAACGCAGC
This 313-nucleotide unclassified non-coding RNA is filed under the name uncultured fungus. Its description in RNAcentral is "partial contains small subunit ribosomal RNA, internal transcribed spacer 1, and 5.8S ribosomal RNA". The stretch from base 1 to 73 matches the Rfam family "Eukaryotic small subunit ribosomal RNA", at positions 1759 to 1831 of the family's 1831-position model. Lineage: Eukaryota; Fungi. The record is from RNAcentral.